GUAUCGAGGAUUUGGGCUAAAUGGUUUGAACUCGACAUAGUUAUCUACAGGGAGAAUAGUUUGUAGUUAGAUUUUAUACUUAUAAAAAUAUUUAUUCUAGGGACUUUACAAACAAACAAAGGCUCUCACUAUUUUCUUGAAUCUCCCACACUCCUCGGAUGGAGAAACAGAGAACUAUACAUGAUCAGUUUUAAGUGGGUACUGCGGUCCCAUUAAUCUAUACAUACCUCACCUAAC
This 237-nucleotide long non-coding RNA is filed under the name Elaeis guineensis (African oil palm). RNAcentral's name for it is "long non-coding RNA (EGUI_LNC060002)". Lineage: Eukaryota; Viridiplantae; Streptophyta; Magnoliopsida; Arecales; Arecaceae. The record is from RNAcentral.